GGAGAAGUGGCAGAAAUAAAUGCGUUUAGCUUGAAACUAAAAGGAUGAGGGUUUAAGUCCUUUCUUCUCUU
This 71-nucleotide transfer RNA is filed under the name Henricia pachyderma. RNAcentral describes it as "tRNA-Ser". It matches the Rfam family "tRNA". From Rfam's summary of the family: Transfer RNA (tRNA) molecules are approximately 80 nucleotides in length. Their secondary structure includes four short double-helical elements and three loops (D, anti-codon, and T loops). The record is from RNAcentral. Lineage: Eukaryota; Metazoa; Echinodermata; Asteroidea; Spinulosida; Echinasteridae.